CCCCUAGAUGUUCUGGGCCGCACGCGCGCUACACUGAACAGUUCAACAAGUCUUAACCUUGGCCGAUAGGUCUGGGUAAUCUUUGAACGCUGUUCGUGAUUGGGAUAGACCUUUGCAAUUAUGGGUCUUCAACGAGGAAUUCCUAGUAAGCGCAAGUCAUCAGCUUGCAUUGAUUACGUCCCUGCCCUUUGUACACACCGCCCGUCGCACCUACCGAUUGAAUGGUCCGGUGAAAUCUCGGGACGGCGGCUUGGUCGCUUGCGUCCGACUGCUGAAACUUGAUUAAACCAUAUCAUUUAGAGGAAGGUGAAGUCGUANCA
Molecule: ribosomal RNA, 320 nt
Filed under: uncultured eukaryote
Lineage: Eukaryota
Description: partial 18S ribosomal RNA
Rfam family: Eukaryotic small subunit ribosomal RNA
Source: RNAcentral